UACGUAGGGUGCGAGCGUUGUCCGGAAUUACUGGGCGUAAAGAGCUCGUAGGUGGUCUGUCGCGUCAUUUGUGAAAGCCCGGGGCUUAACUCCGGGUUGGCAGGUGAUACGGGCAUGACUGGAGUACUGUAGGGGAGACUGGAAUUCCUGGUGUAGCGGUGAAAUGCGCAGAUAUCAGGAGGAACACCGGUGGCGAAGGCGGGUCUCUGGGCAGUAACUGACGCUGAGGAGCGAAAGCAUGGGUAGCGAACAGG
This 254-nucleotide ribosomal RNA is filed under the name uncultured bacterium. RNAcentral describes it as "partial 16S ribosomal RNA". It matches the Rfam family "Bacterial small subunit ribosomal RNA", at positions 524 to 776 of the family's 1533-position model. RNAcentral also lists the same sequence under 1 other name. The record is from RNAcentral.